This 65-nucleotide transfer RNA is filed under the name Dipodomys ordii (Ord's kangaroo rat). It matches the Rfam family "tRNA". Rfam says of the family: Transfer RNA (tRNA) molecules are approximately 80 nucleotides in length. Their secondary structure includes four short double-helical elements and three loops (D, anti-codon, and T loops). The record is from Rfam by way of RNAcentral. Lineage: Eukaryota; Metazoa; Chordata; Mammalia; Rodentia; Heteromyidae.
GGUGGCUCAGUAGUAGGGUGCUUGCCUUGCAUGCAUGAGGCUCUGGGUUCGAUUCCUCAGCACCA